CACUUUGGACCACUCAAAGACACAGUCUACCUGCUGUUUAACCCAGUCUUUGGUCAGAGGUGAAGAAGAGAUUACAUCCUCCACACCAUCCCCCUGCUGCUCUCAACAACCAUCAUCGCUGUGCUGGACAGACUGCAGCACCCACCAGGACCGUUCUCUCAUGGACUACACAAACAUGUGUUUUACCUGCUUGUGCUCCAGAUGUCCUGAAGCAGCUCUCAAGGACCACCAGACACCAGGCUGAAGCAGAACUGAUGCUGUAGUACCUGUCACUCACUGGGCUCGUUCCUGCUGAACCCCCAAGAAAUAAACCCCUCUUCAAGAAAGUCUGAGGUAAUGUCUUGGUGAACUUGUGUUCAUUCAUGUACAGCUCUGCUGAUACCAUCGUCUUUAACAGCAGUGUUUUCUCCCAUGUCUUCUUUAAGCCAGUUAAGAGAGGAAGAACAGCUUAGCCACUCAGACAGCUGAACACACCAAAGGUGGACAUCAUGCAGCCACCCUGAGCCUUGAGCCUCUCUGUGUGAGGAAGCUUUGCUGCUGCAGACCUGGUGAAGUUGCUCUGCUGCAGUGCUGAAGGUAUUCAUUGUAAUGAUGUGUGUAUUUAUUCAACAUGUUUAGUUUCACAGAUUAUCAACACAAAUGUUUCUGUUUAUUUCCUGUUUUGAACCAGCUACAUUCUCCUACUUCAAGUCACUGUCUGUUCAUCCACGAUGUAGCAAGUGCAGCUAACUAAUGGUGAUCCUACAAUCAAUUGUAUUGAUAUACAGUUAAAGUGAAGGGGAUUUUGUUUGUUUUUUUUCAGACCUCUCCUCCUCCUGCCUCUGACUCCGGUAAUGCUAUCAACUCGAAAACUGAUAACUGCACACAGUGAUUCUACAACCACAGGUCAAAGGUCAAAACAUUACCUCACUCAAAACCUUCACUCUGAAUUGUACCGGGCUCGGCUUUUGGUUUUGAAAAAAAGUGCCCAGACAGAACACAGUACUCACUUGAG
Non-coding RNA from Xyrichtys novacula (pearly razorfish), 994 nucleotides. The record is from the annotation of a GenBank genome assembly. Lineage: Eukaryota; Metazoa; Chordata; Actinopteri; Labriformes; Labridae.